This 2928-nucleotide ribosomal RNA is filed under the name Salmonella enterica subsp. enterica serovar Bareilly str. CFSAN000963. RNAcentral describes it as "bacterial LSU rRNA". It matches the Rfam family "Bacterial large subunit ribosomal RNA". The record is from RNAcentral. Lineage: Bacteria; Pseudomonadati; Pseudomonadota; Gammaproteobacteria; Enterobacterales; Enterobacteriaceae.
GGGUUGUGAGGUUAAGCGACUAAGCGUACACGGUGGAUGCCCUGGCAGUCAGAGGCGAUGAAGGGCGUGCUAAUCUGCGAUAAGCGCCGGUAAGGUGAUAUGAACCGUUAUAACCGGCGAUACCCGAAUGGGGAAACCCAGUGUGAUUCGUCACACUAUCAUUAACUGAAUCCAUAGGUUAAUGAGGCGAACCGGGGGAACUGAAACAUCUAAGUACCCCGAGGAAAAGAAAUCAACCGAGAUUCCCCCAGUAGCGGCGAGCGAACGGGGAGGAGCCCAGAGCCUGAAUCAGCAUGUGUGUUAGUGGAAGCGUCUGGAAAGGCGCGCGAUACAGGGUGACAGCCCCGUACACAAAAGCGCAUGUGCUGUGAGCUCGAUGAGUAGGGCGGGACACGUGGUAUCCUGUCUGAAUAUGGGGGGACCAUCCUCCAAGGCUAAAUACUCCUGACUGACCGAUAGUGAACCAGUACCGUGAGGGAAAGGCGAAAAGAACCCCGGCGAGGGGAGUGAAAAAGAACCUGAAACCGUGUACGUACAAGCAGUGGGAGCACAGGUUUACCUGUGUGACUGCGUACCUUUUGUAUAAUGGGUCAGCGACUUAUAUUCUGUAGCAAGGUUAACCGUAUAGGGGAGCCGGAGGGAAACCGAGUCUUAACCGGGCGUUAAGUUGCAGGGUAUAGACCCGAAACCCGGUGAUCUAGCCAUGGGCAGGUUGAAGGUUGGGUAACACUAACUGGAGGACCGAACCGACUAAUGUUGAAAAAUUAGCGGAUGACCUGUGGCUGGGGGUGAAAGGCCAAUCAAACCGGGAGAUAGCUGGUUCUCCCCGAAAGCUAUUUAGGUAGCGCCUCGUGAAUUCAUCUCCGGGGGUAGAGCACUGUUUCGGCUAGGGGGCCAUCCCGGCUUACCAACCCGAUGCAAACUGCGAAUACCGGAGAAUGUUAUCACGGGAGACACACGGCGGGUGCUAACGUCCGUCGUGAAGAGGGAAACAACCCAGACCGCCAGCUAAGGUCCCAAAGUCAUGGUUAAGUGGGAAACGAUGUGGGAAGGCCCAGACAGCCAGGAUGUUGGCUUAGAAGCAGCCAUCAUUUAAAGAAAGCGUAAUAGCUCACUGGUCGAGUCGGCCUGCGCGGAAGAUGUAACGGGGCUAAACCAUGCACCGAAGCUGCGGCAGCGACACUUAUGCGUUGUUGGGUAGGGGAGCGUUCUGUAAGCCUGUGAAGGUGUGUCGUGAGGCAUGCUGGAGGUAUCAGAAGUGCGAAUGCUGACAUAAGUAACGAUAAAGCGGGUGAAAAGCCCGCUCGCCGGAAGACCAAGGGUUCCUGUCCAACGUUAAUCGGGGCAGGGUGAGUCGACCCCUAAGGCGAGGCCGAAAGGCGUAGUCGAUGGGAAACGGGUUAAUAUUCCCGUACUUGGUGUUACUGCGAAGGGGGGACGGAGAAGGCUAUGUUGGCCGGGCGACGGUUGUCCCGGUUUAAGCGUGUAGGUGGUGUUCCAGGUAAAUCCGGUCCACUUUAACACUGAGGCGUGACGACGAGGCACUACGGUGCUGAAGCAACAAAUGCCCUGCUUCCAGGAAAAGCCUCUAAGCAUCAGGUAACAUCAAAUCGUACCCCAAACCGACACAGGUGGUCAGGUAGAGAAUACCAAGGCGCUUGAGAGAACUCGGGUGAAGGAACUAGGCAAAAUGGUGCCGUAACUUCGGGAGAAGGCACGCUGACACGUAGGUGAAGUGAUUUACUCAUGGAGCUGAAGUCAGUCGAAGAUACCAGCUGGCUGCAACUGUUUAUUAAAAACACAGCACUGUGCAAACACGAAAGUGGACGUAUACGGUGUGACGCCUGCCCGGUGCCGGAAGGUUAAUUGAUGGGGUCAGCGCAAGCGAAGCUCCUGAUCGAAGCCCCGGUAAACGGCGGCCGUAACUAUAACGGUCCUAAGGUAGCGAAAUUCCUUGUCGGGUAAGUUCCGACCUGCACGAAUGGCGUAAUGAUGGCCAGGCUGUCUCCACCCGAGACUCAGUGAAAUUGAACUCGCUGUGAAGAUGCAGUGUACCCGCGGCAAGACGGAAAGACCCCGUGAACCUUUACUAUAGCUUGACACUGAACAUUGAGCCUUGAUGUGUAGGAUAGGUGGGAGGCUUUGAAGCGUGGACGCCAGUCUGCGUGGAGCCGACCUUGAAAUACCACCCUUUAAUGUUUGAUGUUCUAACGUGGACCCGUAAUCCGGGUUGCGGACAGUGUCUGGUGGGUAGUUUGACUGGGGCGGUCUCCUCCUAAAGAGUAACGGAGGAGCACGAAGGUUGGCUAAUCCUGGUCGGACAUCAGGAGGUUAGUGCAAUGGCAUAAGCCAGCUUGACUGCGAGCGUGACGGCGCGAGCAGGUGCGAAAGCAGGUCAUAGUGAUCCGGUGGUUCUGAAUGGAAGGGCCAUCGCUCAACGGAUAAAAGGUACUCCGGGGAUAACAGGCUGAUACCGCCCAAGAGUUCAUAUCGACGGCGGUGUUUGGCACCUCGAUGUCGGCUCAUCACAUCCUGGGGCUGAAGUAGGUCCCAAGGGUAUGGCUGUUCGCCAUUUAAAGUGGUACGCGAGCUGGGUUUAGAACGUCGUGAGACAGUUCGGUCCCUAUCUGCCGUGGGCGCUGGAGAACUGAGGGGGGCUGCUCCUAGUACGAGAGGACCGGAGUGGACGCAUCACUGGUGUUCGGGUUGUCAUGCCAAUGGCACUGCCCGGUAGCUAAAUGCGGAAGAGAUAAGUGCUGAAAGCAUCUAAGCACGAAACUUGCCCCGAGAUGAGUUCUCCCUGAGACUUAGAGUCUCCUGAAGGAACGUUGAAGACGACGACGUUGAUAGGCCGGGUGUGUAAGCGCAGCGAUGCGUUGAGCUAACCGGUACUAAUGAACCGUGAGGCUUAACCUUACAACGCCGAAG